This 433-nucleotide ribosomal RNA is filed under the name uncultured bacterium. RNAcentral describes it as "partial 16S ribosomal RNA". It matches the Rfam family "Bacterial small subunit ribosomal RNA", at positions 29 to 507 of the family's 1533-position model. The record is from RNAcentral.
AACGAACGCUGGCGGCAUGCCUAACACAUGCAAGUCGAACGAGACCUUCGGUCGUAGUGGCGCACGGGUGCGUAACUCGUGGAAACGUGGCCUUCGGUUCGCAAUAACUCGCCGAACGGGGUGCUAAUGCCGGAAAAUGUCUUCGGUCCAAAGUUUUCUCGCGAUGGGCUGGGCCCGCGUUGGCUUGCCUAGUUGGGAGGGUAAAAGCCUCCCAAGGCGACGAUCCAUAGCUGGUCUGAGGGGAGGAUCCGCCACACUGGGAAUGAGGCACGGCCCAGACUCCGAGGGGACGCAGCAGUGGGGAAUGUUGUACGAUGGGGGAAGGCGUAAUCCAGCAAUGCCGGGGAUGAGAUGAAGCCGUUAGUGUUGUAAAUCCCUCUUACACGGGAUGAUAAUGACAGUACCGGGAGAAGAAGCACCGGCUAACUCCGUG